This 274-nucleotide ribosomal RNA is filed under the name uncultured bacterium. Its description in RNAcentral is "partial 16S ribosomal RNA". It matches the Rfam family "Bacterial small subunit ribosomal RNA", at positions 523 to 796 of the family's 1533-position model. The record is from RNAcentral.
AUACGGAGGGUGCAAGCGUUGUCCGGAUUUAUUGGGUUUAAAGGGUGCGUAGGUGGUUUUUUAAGUCAGUGGUGAAAGCCUACAGCUUAACUGUAGAGGUGCCAUUGAAACUGGAAGACUUGAGUAUGGACGAGGUAGGCGGAAUUUGUGGUGUAGCGGUGAAAUGCAUAGAUACCACAAAGAACACCGAUAGCGAAGGCAGCUUACUAGGCCAUAACUGACACUGAGGCACGAAAGUGUGGGGAGCGAACAGGAUUAGAAACCCCGGUAGUCC